Molecule: ribosomal RNA, 228 nt
Filed under: Triticum aestivum (bread wheat)
Lineage: Eukaryota; Viridiplantae; Streptophyta; Magnoliopsida; Poales; Poaceae
Description: partial small subunit ribosomal RNA
Source: RNAcentral
AUGGCGGUUCCGGCGGGCUUCAUCUUCGGGGCAGCCGCGGCGGCGGUGAUCGCCGUGGGCGCGUACAUGUUCUUCUGGCCGGCGUCGGCGGCCGUGGCCAUGAUGAAAGCACCUGGAUCCGGCGGCCUGCUGAUAUCCCGCCUGGCGUUCGAGGCCAACCCGCAGCGCUACUACUACCUCCUCCGCACCGCCGGCGCCGCGGUGGCCGCCGCCGCUUUCGCUCCGUGA